AUUAGGAAUCUUGCGCAAUGGGCGAAAGCCUGACGCAGCGACGCCGCGUGGAGGAGGAAGUCUUUCGGGAUGUAAACUCCUUUUAGGUAGGAAGAAACAAAUGACGGUACUACCUGAAUAAGCCCCGGCUAACUACGUGCCAGCAGCCGCGGUAAUACGUAGGGGGCGAGCGUUGUCCGAAGUUACUGGGCGUAAAGCGCGCGUAGGCGGGUAAGCAAGUCUGCUGUGAAAGCCCGGAGCUUAACUCCGGAGGGUCGGUGGAUACUGCUUGUCUUGAAGUGGCUAGGGGGAGAUGGAAUUACCGGUGUAGCGGUGAAAUGCGUAGAGAUCGGUAGGAACACCAGUGGCGAAGGCGGUCUCCUGGGGCUCACUUGACGCUGAGGCGCGAAAGCUGGGGGAGCGAACGG
Molecule: ribosomal RNA, 407 nt
Filed under: uncultured bacterium
Lineage: Bacteria
Description: bacterial SSU rRNA
Rfam family: Bacterial small subunit ribosomal RNA
Source: RNAcentral